Molecule: long non-coding RNA, 4714 nt
Organism: Monodelphis domestica (gray short-tailed opossum)
Lineage: Eukaryota; Metazoa; Chordata; Mammalia; Didelphimorphia; Didelphidae
Source: RefSeq, a predicted model, not a curated record
UUCUCUCCAUUUCUCUAGGACGUUUUCCAAAUAGUCUGAUGACAUUGGUUAGAAAUCUUUCCUGCUAUGGAAGCCCAGACGUUCUCUUUCUAAUUCUCAGGCUUGUGUUUUGUAUUUUCUCCUUGAGGAUCCAUUCUCUUUUUGUUCGCGGUGCAGUUCCCCCGCCCCUCGCCUCAUUUAACUUAGACAGGCACUUGUAAAUCCUCUUGCCUUUGGAAUGAAAACUCUUUGACCACAGAAGUUGUACUUUUCAGCGUGAUGGUGUAACCCGUCACAAAUGUGGAUGAAUCCCACUCAGGCUCCAUGGCCGUAAAUUUCAACCAGGAUGAACUUUGCCAUCUGUGGAAGAGUGGCGCGUCAACUCCUGGGCUUUUUGAACAAUUAAGUUCCACUUGGAAGCUGGAGACUCGCAGCCCUGACGACUUUGCCCGGUGAUCUGAUACACUAAAAGGGGCGUUCAAGUGCCCUGUUUUAUAACUGGGUCACUUCAGCUGCUGAUUUAGCCCUUUGCUUCUGACUGGGUUCCCGGGCCCAUAGAUGUCUCAUUGCACUCCAGUUCCAAGGCUGAAUUACUGGACUGGACUGAGGUGUAUCAGAUUUAGCUGUGACUUCGUAAGCUUCAAAAUGUUAGGAGAUGGAGCCUCCAGAGGGUCUAGAGCCAGACUCCAAACUAGUGUUGGCAAACCAACAGCAUAACUCUGAGGAAUGAAUAAGAAGCAGCCCAGUAGUUGUUUGACUUCAAAGCCAAGAUGCCAAGUCUUCCAAGAGGAAGAGCUCCAUCUAUUGCCUACACCACAUUUGGAGGUGAUUUUGGUGAGCCAAAUGCCUUGUAGAAACUGCUUUGGGCUUGAGUCCUGUCUCCAGGGGCUGAGUUGAUAUAGGGGAAAGUGUGCCUCCAGGUGUUGGGGGAAGCAAUGUUUCUACUUCUUGUAUAUCUUAAUAAAUAUCCCUUUGUAAAAUUUUUUUGAUGAAAAUUGGCUAAAUGAUGUUGGGAAACCAGUCACCAAAGAAUGAUUAUAAAAGAGAUCCAAUCAUUAGUAAUUGAUAUUGAGAACACAUAGGCACUGGAUCUCAGAGCCAGUAGUAUUAGAGGAUAAUGACAGAACUGCUGAUGGGGUACCCCUAGAACCCUCAUCAGUGUGAGUAUGAAUAAGGUCAAGGAUGCCGCAGCUUUAUAGGGAUGAUGUGUGAAUUUUCAUUAUAAAUAAGUAUAUAAUUCAUAGGCUUUUAGUUGCAAAGGAUCUUAGAAAUCAUCUAGUUCAACAUUCUCAUUUUAUAGACUGGGACACAGUGGCCCUAAGAAGUGAUAUGACUUGCUUUUGGACACACAGCUAGUUCCUGACAGAGCCAAGAUUCCAAUCCAAGUCUCUGACCCCAAAUCCAUUGUUUUUCCUAAUUCACCAAGUUAUGGCCCAGCAAGUUAACUCAUGGAAUUUGUAUGGGUGGGUAUACAUAUGUAUUUGUGUGUGCAUGUACUCACCUGUUAAAACAAGUGACAAAUCAAGAUUACAUUUCUGAGAAAAGUGGGAUGUAGCAAAUAGUGGGGAUGGUGAUAGAAAGCAAGGAAUAAGGAAAAAGAAAAUAUACAGGUGUCUCUGAGGGGUUAGGGUUGUGGUACCUGCAUAAUCUGGAAAAUCUAUGCAAAAUUUUUAGGUCUUUCUUUCAUAUCAGAAAAAUCUGAAUUUUUUCUUUUUCUUUUAUGGGAUGUACUUUGUUGUAAAAUUUGGGUUAAAUAUUUUGUCAUGGGCUAUAGAGUCUCUAGUAUUUUCUGUCAUCUGCUGGUCUUCAUGUGUCAACUGUGGCUUCUGCAAAACUCCUCUAAAAUUCCCAUUUUUAUACCCACCCAUGAUAUAUCAAAACCAUGAUGGGGAAAGUCACAGUAUAGAAGGGAUACCUAUACUUAGAACCACUGAGUCUUUUGGGUAGCUAAGUGGCUCAGUGAAGAGAAUUCUGGGCCUGGAGACAGUAAGACUCAUCUCCCUGAGUUCAAAUCUGGCUUCAGACACUUACUAACUGUGUGACUCUGGGCAAGUCACUUAAUGCUGUUUGCCUCAAUUUCUUUAUCUGUUAAAUGGACUGGAGAAGGAAAUGCCAAACUGCUCCAGUAUCUUUACCAAGAAAACCCCAAAUGGAGUCAUGAAGAGUGUGAGAUGACUAAACUACAAACUGGACUUGUGUAGUCUUAUACAAAACUUAGUCAGCUAACAUAUUCCAUAAGGAGAGGUUCAGAAAGGAAAAUUUGAGACAAAGAAUACUAAAUCUCAAUCUGAAUCUCAACAUUUCAGUAGAAGCUAUUAUCAAAACUGCUAUCUGGUCUCCAAUGAUCAAAUAAAGUGCAUAAUAACAAAAUGUCCUUUUUACUUUGUACUGUGUAGAUGUUGCCUUGGCAUUCUAUGUGGUAUUACAUUAUAGGUGGUCAUUUUAUUUCAUUUUUCUCAUUUAACUGAGAUUUUAUUUUUAUUUGUAUUUUUCCUAUUUGCUUAUCUCCAGACCACAGAACUAGAAAUAAAUGGUGGAAUUUUAAAAUUUAGGCUUAAUAUUGAAAAGCUUCCUAAUGAUUAGAGCUGUCCCAAAGUGAAAUGGGCUGCCUUGGGGAGGUUUUGGGUUUCCUCUUACUUAUGGUCUUGAUCAAGGGCUGAACAUCAAGUUACCAGAUAGGUUAGAGAAGGGCAGCUUUUUUCAGAGCAAGAUGGACUUCAUGACCUCCAAAGUUCUUUCCAACUCUGAAUUUCUGUGAUUCUAUGAAAUCAAACUCCUACUGAUCUUUGGCUUGUUAUUUUUGGCAGCAUAAUCUAGAGUCUGUAUGACUCCAGAAUUACAGAGGCAUGUUAAAUUAGCUGAGAAGAAUCCCAGAAUGUUAGGUCUUUUAUAAUCAGACAGAAGAACUCCAAAAAUAUACUCAGGGAAAAUACAAAACAUUGGAACAGUGGACAACUAUCAUGAAAAAAUUUAGAAACAAUUGCCAAUCACAGCAUCAUAUAAGGAAUAUGGCCAACCAAACAUUUGUAAUGACGUAAAUACUCCUACACUGUUUUAAGCUAUAGCAUAUGCACCUUGGUAAACCACCUCAGCAGGAAGGCUAAACCAGGUUGAGGGUAACCACGGGCCUCAGGUCCUUCAGUGAGUUAGGGCUCUUCCAGCCAAUAAGGUGAUGAAGCAGGCUCCUUGGAGUGCUUAGAUCUUGGUCAGAUGUCAAAGAUACCAAGAUCAUCCUCUGCAUCCCAGGCCAUCACCAGUCAUGGCGACUUUUGUCUUGCCACUGGAUUUGGAUGACUGGAAGAGUGAGGCUGAAGACUUUGUGCAACUCUGCCAAGUUUAAAUCCAAUUUAGGCAAGAGUCAAAAGGCAUCACCAGUGAUGUCAUUUUUGGUCCUGUUAGAGUACAAAAGACAAAAAUACCAUGGUUUCACAGGGUAGUAGGGAUGCAGGGAAUUCUAAGUAUGCAACAGUGAAUCUACUAGAUAAAGCUGAAUGUGAGGACCUGGACUAGACUAGACCCUAAGAAGUUGAGAGUUCUGUGCAGCCAGCAAAUCAAUCAUGAAUUAAAGGAAAAUGAGACUGAUAAGUGUAAAGGUAGCUUUUGUGGUGGUGGUUGUUGUGAAGAGCAAUAAACUUUUUAUGGGUAUAUUUUAAUUCAUACAAAGUAACAUACAACCCAAUUUAAGAUACCCAAUGGCAUCAGAGAGAAGGGGUGAGGAAAGCGUUUCAGAGUAAAGGAUACAUCUGCAUCUUAGUUACCUCAAAGGGAAAUUUAUAACUUAAUCUCUCUUAUUGGAGAAGGCAUUCAGAUCAAAACAGGAGGAGGAAGGAUUUUUUUUCAAGUUUUUUAAGUUGAAAAAAACCUUUGAAUUGAAUAAACGCCAAACAAAAUGGUCAUUUCUAUAGAUAUAGUAGAACCAAAAAAGAAGAUUGUAUGUGAAAUUGUGGUCUCUAUUAUGUAUGUCUUGUUUUUCUUUUUAAAAUAUAUACCAACAAUUGAAUGUAAUGGACUUCUCUAUUAGUGGCAAUUCAGUGAUCCUGAACAACUCUGAGGGAUCUAUGAGAAAGAACACUAUCCACAUUCAGAGGAAAACCAAUGGGAGUAGAAACACAGAAGAAAGACAACUUCUUGAAUACAUGAGUCAAGGGGAUAUGAUUGGGGAUGUAGACUCCAAAGGAACAUCCUAAUGUAAACAUCAGCAACAUGGAAAUAGGUUCUGAUCAAGGGCACAUGUAAAACCCAGUGGAAUUGCUCAUCAGCUACUGGAAGGGGCUGGGGGAGGGGAGAGAGGGAAAUACUGUAAUUAUUGUAACCAAGGAAUAAUGUUUGAAAUUGAAUAAUUAAAUAAAAUUUUCAAAAAAUAAAAUAAAAUAAAAUAAAAUAAAAUAUAUAACAAGUUCAACCUGCAGCUUUCAAAACUAUCUUGCUUAUCUGUUCUGUUCUAUGCAUUUGAAAAUAUACCUUUGCAAAAAAAAUUCCUCAAUGACACUGUCUAUUUAUCUAUCUGCCUCUCUGUCUCUGUCUCUCUUCAACCUUAUCCCUAUUACUGCUUAUCUUUCUACCUCUUCCCUCCUAUUAAAAGGAAAAAAAAAGAGAAGAAAAACAAAGCCCUUAGAAUAAACAUAUUUAAGCAAAACAAUCCUGCACAUUGACUGUGUGUGAAAUAUAUCUUAUUGUACAUUGUGUGUUUAUGACCUCAUCAAUAGCAUGCUUCAUUAUCUGGAAUCUUAAGUGG